Molecule: unclassified non-coding RNA, 328 nt
Filed under: soil metagenome
Description: partial contains 5.8S ribosomal RNA, internal transcribed spacer 2, and large subunit ribosomal RNA
Rfam family: 5.8S ribosomal RNA (bases 2-119)
Source: RNAcentral
GUGAAGAACGUAGUGAAAUGCGAUAAGUAAUGUGAAUUGCAGAAUUCAGUGAAUCAUCGAAUCUUUGAACGCACAUUGCGCCCUCUGGUAUUCCGGGGGGCAUGCCUGUUCGAGCGUCAUUAUAACCACUCAAGCUCUCGCUUGGUAUUGGGGUUCGCGGUUCCGCGGCCCCUAAAAUCAGUGGCGGUGCCUGUCGGCUCUACGCGUAGUAAUACUCCUCGCGAUUGAGUCCGGUAGGUCUACUUGCCAGCAACCCCCAAUUUUUACAGUUUGACCUCGGAUCAGGUAGGGAUACCCGCUGAACUUAAGCAUAUCAAUAAGCGGAGGA